GACGAACGCUGGCGGCGUGCUUAACACAUGCAAGUCGAACGGCAAGGCACUGCGUGUGUGGGGUGCUCGAGGGGCGAACGGGUGAGUAACACGAGUGUAACCUGACCUAGACUUUGGUGUAAGUUAAGGAAACUGAGGCUAAUAUAGGAUAGGAGCCGCUCUUCCAUGGUGGGGGUUGGAAAGUUUCGGCGGUUGGGGAUGGACGCGCGGCUUAUCAGCUUGCUGGUGGGGUAGUGGCUUACCAAGGCUUGGACGGGUAGCCGGCCUGGGAGGGUGACCGGCCACAAUGGGACUGAGGGACGGCGCAGACUCCUACGGGAGACAGCAGUGGCGAAUAUUACACAGUGGUCCGAAGCCUGAGGCAGCAACGUCGCGUGCGUGAUGACGGCCUUCGGGUUGUAAACCGCUUUCGCCUGAGACGAAGCUUGAGUGACGGUAAUGGGUAAAGAAGCACCGGCUAACUACGUG
Molecule: ribosomal RNA, 468 nt
Filed under: uncultured bacterium
Lineage: Bacteria
Description: partial 16S ribosomal RNA
Rfam family: Bacterial small subunit ribosomal RNA
Source: RNAcentral